Non-coding RNA from Chaetura pelagica (chimney swift), 276 nucleotides. The record is from Rfam. NCBI's taxonomy places the organism in Eukaryota, Metazoa, Chordata, Aves, Apodiformes, Apodidae.
GUGCAUGCUGGGCUGUAAUUUAUGAAACAGAGCCCAGGAAACAACCAGUCAGUUAGCUCCUCCUAACAAGUCCAACUGCAAUGAAAAGCUGAAAGUGCUGCACAGAGCAACUAAAAGGAGCUAUCCCAAAUAUCAAUCUGCUUAUCUAGGGUUGUUUUCUGUGUAGAGAGAGAAGAUUGUAACAAGGAGAGGAAAAAAAGAAAGAAAAAAUCACAGUUUCACUGCUGAAAGAACAGAAUACAUUUUAAUAAACAGGCAAAUCUUCCACUGGAGUCA